CACGUAGGGGGCGAGCGUUGUUCGGAAUCAUUGGGCGUAAAGGGUGCGCAGGCGGCAUGUCAAGUCUGGUGUGAAAGACCCCGGCUCAACCGGGGGGACGCGCUGGAAACUGACGUGCUGGAGUACAGGAGGGGGAGUUGGAAUUCCAGGUGUAGGGGUGAAAUCUGUAGAUAUCUGGAAGAACACCGGUGGCGAAGGCGAACUCCUGGCCAUGUACUGACGCUGAGGCACGAAGGCGUGGGGAGCAAACAGG
Molecule: ribosomal RNA, 253 nt
Filed under: uncultured bacterium
Lineage: Bacteria
Description: partial 16S ribosomal RNA
Rfam family: Bacterial small subunit ribosomal RNA
Source: RNAcentral